This 516-nucleotide ribosomal RNA is filed under the name Triticum aestivum (bread wheat). RNAcentral's name for it is "partial small subunit ribosomal RNA". Lineage: Eukaryota; Viridiplantae; Streptophyta; Magnoliopsida; Poales; Poaceae. The record is from RNAcentral.
AUGUGUUUUCCCACCGUGGCCGUGGUUACUGGGUGGAUCUCUUGCUUGGUGGCAUGUACUGUGACUGCGUUGAUCUUCUCUCCGGCCAGCGUUCCGUGGACGUCCGCUCCCCUAGGCCUGCCUGUGGGGUGCGAGAGUUACCUCGGCUGCAGAGACUACAUACCAGAGGUGAGGGCCUUUCGAGCCGUGGGCUGUGUCGGGGACUCCAUCAAGUUUGUCUCCAUCACCGGCUUCCUUGAGCGUGUGGAUCUUGCGGAUGACCGCAUGGUGAGGGUCUGGAAACUCAAGGAAGAUAUGAGUUGGGAUUUAGACUACGAGCUCAAGUUUGGGAGCCUGCGCGAAGAUGGGGCUUUCAAAGGGAACCACCUGCCGACCUCCAUGGCACCCAUGUACCCCUUCCUCAGCAUGCAGGAAGACCGUGUCAUCUACUUUGCACUGGCAUUGGUUGUCUUCUUGCUAUGUCCGGCAAUGCUGAGGGCGAUCUUGCUUGGACUUCCCAGCCAAGCCAACUUCUGA